Long non-coding RNA from Oryzias latipes (Japanese medaka), 2102 nucleotides. RefSeq lists it as uncharacterized. Lineage: Eukaryota; Metazoa; Chordata; Actinopteri; Beloniformes; Adrianichthyidae. The record is from RefSeq and is a predicted model, not a curated record.
CCUUAAAGAUUUAUUUUAUCGCCAACACUCCACAGGUAAGUCAUUUUUAAAUGAAUGAAGUGCAGGAUAAAUGACCAGGUAUCAUAUAAUACAGAUAAAUUACAACACUGAAAGAAAAUUGGAUUUAAAUACAAAUGUAUGUUAAAUACAGUAGCGACAUCUCUAAUAAUUACUGAUUUAAAACCAUUUAAAUCCAUGUUUUGAGACCAGUUUUCUGCACUUUUUUUUAUUCCCGGUUAUAUAACAGUAACAGGUGGGCAUGAAAGGGGAGCCCACAGGGACAGUAUGAUGGAUGGAUGGAGGCCACGCUGAUGCCAGCUUCUCUUUGAAAGGAAGAGGCAGCUGAAACAGACAUUCCCCUCCCUUUAAUUUGUGUGUGCUGAGGUUGCUACACUGCUUUGGCAGGGGUGGCACAACCAUCUGCAUGGUCAGGAUGGCGUUUAUGUGUGCGCCUGGGGGAAGACGGGCCUGGAUAGAUUGGUGAUUGAGUGUUCAAGGCUGCCUGCGGGUUGUGUUCUAGUACUGGAUUUGAACGGUGUGACAAGUGUGUGUAUCAAGGAGCCCCUCCAUCUCUGUCUCUUCCAAGACCUUUCAUGGUCCAUAGACUGGCUGGGCCACUCCAUCAGCCUUGCUUUGACUGUUUGUUUUGGGUCAUUAUCCUGUUGGAAGACCCAUCUCCUGGUGGAAAGAAAGAGGUUCUCACUGAAGAUUUGACAUGGUUCCCAUGGACAAGCAUGCCGCCCUUUCCUUCAAUAUCUGCCCCUACCAACUUCUCUGAUGGUUGUGAAACUCCUUGAAGCAGCACACUGGAGAAGCUAAAUGUGAUCUGCAUGGGACUGGUCAAAAUGACACUCAGGAGGAAAACGAGUCUGGCUUAAAGGCAAAGCAAUUGGUUAUUGUGUCUCCUAUGCAUCUAGAUUUGUUGUUUCUGUACAGGAGAUACUGCAUAGAAGAGAUUGAUUGACAAGAUCAACAGCCAAUCAGGACGCAGAACACAGUGCACUGUUUAAAAAUGAAAAAUAAAGUUGCACUGAAAAAAAAACCAUGAAUCAACGAAAUGUGAAAGGUGAUCCAUAAUAUAUUGGAUCACUGUACUGGUAAGAAUUUAUUACGUAUGAGUGAUGCUGUAUGUUCCUCCUACACCACACUCUGGUAAGUUAUUGUAAGUACUGGUCACUUACUGACCACUGCUUGAAUCCAUAAGUACCCAUGUAAUAAACACACAAACUACUGUAUUGCUGAAUUUUUUCAUUUAUAACAGUAAGGCUGCACACAGGGAAUAUGGAAGGGGAGCACACUUAUUCCAUGAACAUGAUAACGGGCGCAGGACUUUUAUCCAAAAACGAAAAAUACCCCACACUUACUUAGUUUUGCGUGUUGUAUAUGUGCUCACUUCCACCUGUCGCCCGCAGAAUGCUUGUAUAAAAAAACAUUGUGUGAAUAUUUUGCUCUCCGAGCAGUCCACAACUUUGACUUUUUCUGUGGGGCAUCUGUGUGCCCCUUACAGGUUUGGUCACUUUUCACUUUUCACAUAUUGCUGGAUAUGUGCUUUUCACUGAACAGCCCAUAUCCACCCCUAAGGGGAGUUGUGACUAUGGCUAAAGUUGUAAUACUGUAAUAAUUUGAGUUACCUGCCCUCAAACUUAGUUUAUUAUUUUUAAAUGACUUUGUCAAUGUUCUGAUUAUCUGCUAAAUAAGUUUUUUUUGCUCUCCUUUAGGAUAGGUUUGGCACUUAAGUGAUCCAACCAAGCCUUCACCUUAUCUCAGACCUAUGAAAAUUUACCAACUCUCCUGCUCCUUAUCCUGUGGUCCUCCUCAGAACUAUCUUAUUUAUUAGGAAAAACACGUUUCACUGUUUAUGCACAUUUUACAGGCUUUUGUUUAAAUCUUACUGUCAACAAAUCUUUCUACUUUUUUGCCGGCUCCCAUAGGGGUCGGCACAGUUAAUAAUCUGCCUCCAUCUAAAGCAGGAGAGGGCAAAUUUUUGACUCUUGGGCUACAAAGGGUUCUAGAACUUGAACAGAUAUGUGGCAUCUUCUGGUAAUCCGACUCAUAAGAGAAAGAAAUACCUUAAUAUCUGGGGAAUAAUAUGCUUGCAUUUU